UGCAGUCGAACGGUAACAGGGCCUUCGGGCGCUGACGAGUGGCGAACGGGUGAGUAAUGCAUCGGAACGUGCCCAGUCGUGGGGGAUAACGCAGCGAAAGCUGUGCUAAUACCGCAUACGAUCUAUGGAUGAAAGCGGGGGACCGUAAGGCCUCGCGCGAUUGGAGCGGCCGAUGUCUGAUUAGGUAGUUGGUGGGGUAAAGGCUCACCAAGCCAACGAUCUGUAGCUGGUCUGAGAGGACGACCAGCCACACUGGGACUGAGACACGGCCCAGACUCCUACGGGAGGCAGCAGUGGGGAAUUUUGGACAAUGGGGGCAACCCUGAUCCAGCAAUGCCGCGUGCGGGAAGAAGGCCUUCGGGUUGUAAACUGCUUUUGUACGGAACGAAACGGUCUUGGCUAAUACCCAGGGCUAAUGACGGUACCGUAAGAAUAAGCACCGGCUAACUACGUGCCAGCAGC
This 462-nucleotide ribosomal RNA is filed under the name uncultured bacterium. RNAcentral's name for it is "bacterial SSU rRNA". It matches the Rfam family "Bacterial small subunit ribosomal RNA", at positions 56 to 515 of the family's 1533-position model. The record is from RNAcentral.